CGUAGGCGGUGAGAUAUGUGUGGUGUGAAAGCCCUGGGCUUAACCUGGGAAGUGCAUCGCAAACUAUCUGACUGGAGCAUAUGAGAGGGUGGCGGAAUUUCCGGUGUAGCGGUGAAAUGCGUAGAGAUCGGAAGGAACGUCGAUGGCGAAGGCAGCCACCUGGCAUAAUACUGACGCUGAGGCGCGAAAGCGUGGGGAUCAAACA
This 205-nucleotide ribosomal RNA is filed under the name uncultured bacterium. Its description in RNAcentral is "partial 16S ribosomal RNA". It matches the Rfam family "Bacterial small subunit ribosomal RNA", at positions 570 to 774 of the family's 1533-position model. The record is from RNAcentral.